RNAcentral lists this ribosomal RNA (515 nucleotides) under uncultured bacterium. RNAcentral describes it as "SSU rRNA". It matches the Rfam family "Bacterial small subunit ribosomal RNA", at positions 26 to 526 of the family's 1533-position model. The record is from RNAcentral.
AGGACGAACGCUGGCGGCGUGCCUAACACAUGCAAGUGGAGCGACGAACCAGGCUUCGGCCUGGGGCAGAGCCGCGAACGGGUGAGUAACACGUGGGUAACCUGCCCUGAUGAUUGGGACAACCCGAGGAAACUCGGGCUAAUACCGAAUGUGCCCUCCGGCCUCAAGGCCGUUGGGGAAAGGAGCUUCGGCCUCCGCAUCGGGAUGGGCCCGCGGCCCAUUAGCUUGUUGGUGAGGUAACGGCUCACCAAGGCAACGAUGGGUAGCUGGUCUGAGAGGACGAUCAGCCACACUGGGACUGAGACACGGCCCAGACUCCUACGGGAGGCAGCAGUAGGGGAAUCUUGCGCAAUGCGCGGAAGCGUGACGCAGCAACGCCGCGCGGGGGAAGAAGGCUCUCGGGUUGUAAACCCCCUUUCAGUUGGGACGAAGCUUCGUCGGUUAAUAGCCGGCUGGAGUGACGGUACCUUCACAAGAAGCACCGGCUAACUACGUGCCAGCAGCCGCGGUAAUCC